GUGCACGCUGGCGGUAGGCCUAACACCUGCACGUCGCACGGCAGCACAGUAAGAGCUUGCUCUUACGGGUGGCGAGUGGCGGACGGGUGAGGAAUACAUCGGAAUCUACUUUUUCGUGGGGGAUAACGUAGGGAAACUUACGCUAAUACCGCAUACGACCUACGGGUGAAAGCAGGGGAUCUUCGGACCUUGCGCGAUUGAAUGAGCCGAUGUCGGAUUAGCUAGUUGGCGGGGUAAAGGCCCACCAAGGCGACGAUCCGUAGCUGGUCUGAGAGGAUGAUCAGCCACACUGGAACUGAGACACGGUCCAGACUCCUACGGGAGGCAGCAGUGGGGAAUAUUGGACAAUGGGCGCAAGCCUGAUCCAGCCAUACCGCGUGGGUGAAGAAGGCCUUCGGGUUGUAAAGCCCUUUUGUUGGGAAAGAAAAGCAGCAGGUUAAUACCCCGCUGUUCUGACGGUACCCAAAGAAUAAGCACCGGCUAACUUCGUG
Molecule: ribosomal RNA, 491 nt
Filed under: uncultured bacterium
Lineage: Bacteria
Description: partial 16S ribosomal RNA
Rfam family: Bacterial small subunit ribosomal RNA
Source: RNAcentral